RNAcentral lists this unclassified non-coding RNA (298 nucleotides) under uncultured fungus. RNAcentral describes it as "partial contains 5.8S ribosomal RNA, internal transcribed spacer 2, and large subunit ribosomal RNA". The stretch from base 1 to 52 matches the Rfam family "5.8S ribosomal RNA", at positions 103 to 154 of the family's 154-position model. The record is from RNAcentral. Lineage: Eukaryota; Fungi.
AACGCACCUUGCACUCUUUGGUAUUCCGAAGAGUAUGUCUGUUUGAGUGUCAUGAAACUUUCAACCCCCCUGUUUUGUAAUGAGAUGGGCGUAGGCUUGGUUUAUGGUUGUCUGUCGGCGUAAGUCGGCUCAACUGAAAUAUACGAGCAACCCUUUUAAAAUAGACGGCUUGACUCGGCGUAAUAAUUAUUUCGCUGAGGACGUCUUCUUUAAAGUCAGUGGUGCUACUAACGCUACGCCUUCGGGUGUAACUUUCAAUUUAGACCUCAAAUCAGAUAGGACUACCCGCUGAACUUAA